Molecule: small RNA, 281 nt
Filed under: Drosophila ananassae
Lineage: Eukaryota; Metazoa; Arthropoda; Insecta; Diptera; Drosophilidae
Description: GF28159
Source: RNAcentral
AAAAAAAUUUUCUACCAUGUUCAAGGCCACUACGAAUGAAGAGCUCCAAUGUGCACAGCAUUUUAAAUUUGGCUGGUGGUACUCUCCAAAUUGUAUGAAAAACCCUUCAAACAAUGUUGCAGGAAAAGUUUAUUCGGAUAAUAUUCAAAAUGUCACAAUGGAAUUAGUUCAAAAUUUAAAAAAAAAAGUUGUCUAAAGUCAAGGCUAUAGAGAACUAUUUAGAAACCAUAUGCCGACCGCUGAUAAGCGACUUUUAAAUCUGAAACACCGAGUCGGAUGGA